CCUACGGGUGGCAGCAGUGGGGAAUAUUGCACAAUGGGGGGAACCCUGAUGCAGCAACGCCGCGUGAAGGAAGAAGGCUUUCGGGUUGUAAACUUCUAUCAUUAGGGACGAAAAGAAUGACGGUACCUAAAUAAGAAGUCCCGGCUAACUACGUGCCAGCAGCCGCGGUAUUACGUACGGGGCAAGCGUUAUCCGGAAUUACAGGGGGUAAAGGGAGCGUAGGCGGCAUGGUAAGCGAGAAGAGAAAGAUCGCGGCUUAACCGCGCAGAUUGCAUUUGAAACUAUCAAACUAGAGUACAGGAGAGGAAAACGGAAUUCCUAGUGUAGCGGUGGAAUGCGUAGAUAUUAGGAAGAACACCAGCGGCGAAGGCAGCUUUCUGGACUGAAACUGACGCUGAGGCUCGAAAGCGUGGGGAGCAAACAGGAUUAGAUACCCGGGUAGUC
Molecule: ribosomal RNA, 444 nt
Filed under: uncultured bacterium
Lineage: Bacteria
Description: partial 16S ribosomal RNA
Rfam family: Bacterial small subunit ribosomal RNA
Source: RNAcentral